Molecule: small nuclear RNA, 119 nt
Organism: Xyrauchen texanus (razorback sucker)
Lineage: Eukaryota; Metazoa; Chordata; Actinopteri; Cypriniformes; Catostomidae
Source: RefSeq, a predicted model, not a curated record
CAACACCAUGAAAGGAGAGAAAGUUAGCACACCCCUUGACAAGGAUAUACUAAUCCAUCAAGAGGUCCUACUGACUGAUAAAACACACCAUCUACUUUGUGGCAUUACUAAUCAUGUUU